UCUCCUGUAGUAUAGUGGUCAGUAUAGGGGCUUGUCAACUUGCGUUGUGCUCGCCCUCGACCCGGGUUCGAAUCCCGGCGGGAGAG
Non-coding RNA from Podospora appendiculata, 86 nucleotides. The record is from the annotation of a GenBank genome assembly. NCBI's taxonomy places the organism in Eukaryota, Fungi, Ascomycota, Sordariomycetes, Sordariales, Podosporaceae.